CUUUACAAAACAAAUAGUAAACCUAUCAGAUAUCCAUAUAAUUAAGUGUCUUAUAGCUGGACAAAACAAUUAAAUAUUUGUGUUGUCCAAAAUGUAAACCCACAUUAAAGAAUGACAAUAACGUGUGACGAUUGUUUUGUUCAUUGUUCACAAAACAUUAGUUGGCAUACAUAACAGACAUGAAGUAAUUACUUCAUAUACGGCCCUUGAUAACACAAUCGACAAAUGACAGCUUAAACUCAAAUUAUCGUAUACUAUGAGAACUGAAUUACACAUAUAUUAUGGAUUAAUGUUAUUUUCCAGUGCAGGUAUUUGUUGAACAUUCACAAUGCAGCAUGUAUAUUCAUUACAUGUUUAUUGUUUCUUUAAGAUUUUGAGUAAUCCAUUUAAACGCACC
RNAcentral lists this long non-coding RNA (397 nucleotides) under Mytilus galloprovincialis (Mediterranean mussel). Lineage: Eukaryota; Metazoa; Mollusca; Bivalvia; Mytilida; Mytilidae. The record is from RNAcentral.